UACGGAGGGUGCAAGCGUUAAUCGGAAUUACUGGGCGUAAAGCGCACGCAGGUGGCUGAGUCAGUCGAUUGUGAAAGCCCUGGGCUUAACCUGGGAAUUGCAGUCGAUACUACUCAGCUAGAGUAUGGGAGAGGGCAGUGGAAUUCCCGGUGUAGCGGUGAAAUGCGCAGAUAUCAGGAGGAACACCGGUGGCGAAGGCGGGUCUCUGGGCCGAUACUGACGCUGAGACGCGAAAGCGUGGGGAGCGAACAGG
Molecule: ribosomal RNA, 253 nt
Filed under: uncultured bacterium
Lineage: Bacteria
Description: partial 16S ribosomal RNA
Rfam family: Bacterial small subunit ribosomal RNA
Source: RNAcentral